GUUAAGCGACUAAGCGUACACGGUGGAUGCCCUGGCAGUCAGAGGCGAUGAAGGACGUGCUAAUCUGCGAUAAGCGUCGGUAAGGUGAUAUGAACCGUUAUAACCGGCGAUUUCCGAAUGGGGAAACCCAGUGUGUUUCGACACACUAUCAUUAACUGAAUCCAUAGGUUAAUGAGGCGAACCGGGGGAACUGAAACAUCUAAGUACCCCGAGGAAAAGAAAUCAACCGAGAUUCCCCCAGUAGCGGCGAGCGAACGGGGAGCAGCCCAGAGCCUGAAUCAGUGUGUGUGUUAGUGGAAGCGUCUGGAAAGGCGCGCGAUACAGGGUGACAGCCCCGUACACAAAAAUGCACAUGCUGUGAGCUCGAUGAGUAGGGCGGGACACGUGGUAUCCUGUCUGAAUAUGGGGGGACCAUCCUCCAAGGCUAAAUACUCCUGACUGACCGAUAGUGAACCAGUACCGUGAGGGAAAGGCGAAAAGAACCCCGGCGAGGGGAGUGAAAAAGAACCUGAAACCGUGUACGUACAAGCAGUGGGAGCACGCUUAGGCGUGUGACUGCGUACCUUUUGUAUAAUGGGUCAGCGACUUAUAUUCUGUAGCAAGGUUAACCGAAUAGGGGAGCCGAAGGGAAACCGAGUCUUAACUGGGCGUUAAGUUGCAGGGUAUAGACCCGAAACCCGGUGAUCUAGCCAUGGGCAGGUUGAAGGUUGGGUAACACUAACUGGAGGACCGAACCGACUAAUGUUGAAAAAUUAGCGGAUGACUUGUGGCUGGGGGUGAAAGGCCAAUCAAACCGGGAGAUAGCUGGUUCUCCCCGAAAGCUAUUUAGGUAGCGCCUCGUGAACUCAUCUCCGGGGGUAGAGCACUGUUUCGGCAAGGGGGUCAUCCCGACUUACCAACCCGAUGCAAACUGCGAAUACCGGAGAAUGUUAUCACGGGAGACACACGGCGGGUGCUAACGUCCGUCGUGAAGAGGGAAACAACCCAGACCGCCAGCUAAGGUCCCAAAGUCAUGGUUAAGUGGGAAACGAUGUGGGAAGGCCCAGACAGCCAGGAUGUUGGCUUAGAAGCAGCCAUCAUUUAAAGAAAGCGUAAUAGCUCACUGGUCGAGUCGGCCUGCGCGGAAGAUGUAACGGGGCUAAACCAUGCACCGAAGCUGCGGCAGCGACACUAUGUGUUGUUGGGUAGGGGAGCGUUCUGUAAGCCUGCGAAGGUGUACUGUGAGGUAUGCUGGAGGUAUCAGAAGUGCGAAUGCUGACAUAAGUAACGAUAAAGCGGGUGAAAAGCCCGCUCGCCGGAAGACCAAGGGUUCCUGUCCAACGUUAAUCGGGGCAGGGUGAGUCGACCCCUAAGGCGAGGCCGAAAGGCGUAGUCGAUGGGAAACAGGUUAAUAUUCCUGUACUUGGUGUUACUGCGAAGGGGGGACGGAGAAGGCUAUGUUGGCCGGGCGACGGUUGUCCCGGUUUAAGCGUGUAGGCUGGUUUUCCAGGCAAAUCCGGAAAA
This 1503-nucleotide ribosomal RNA is filed under the name Escherichia coli. Its description in RNAcentral is "partial 23S ribosomal RNA". It matches the Rfam family "Bacterial large subunit ribosomal RNA", at positions 1 to 1549 of the family's 2925-position model. The record is from RNAcentral. Lineage: Bacteria; Pseudomonadati; Pseudomonadota; Gammaproteobacteria; Enterobacterales; Enterobacteriaceae.